AUUUUAAGACCAGCACAUGUGGGUAAUAUUAAAAUGAUAUUCUUUUUCACUUAACAUAAAUGCCCAGUAUUUCAGCUUCAUUAAGUCUGCUUUUAGAAUGAAACUAUCAAAUGAUAACAUGCAUUCUAUGGGAACACUUCGACUCCAGAAUGAAAUAUUGGAAUAAACUUCUUUAUAAGUCUGUCUCUGCCUCUCUCUGCCUUGAGUGGUAAGGGAAGAAAGUACACAGUUGUUUCCUUUCUAUCUUCAGACUAAAGAAGAGCAUAGGAUCCAUUCAAUCCUCUAUGUUCCUCUUUUCUUCUCAGAGUUUACAAGACCUGGAUGAGAAGACUAAUCAUUUGAUAGUGAACACACAACAAAUAAAAAGUAACCUGAGUGAGACUUUCCAUUGGCAGGCCUGGUUGGAGGGAGGGGUACGUUCACGGUGGAGAUUUUUUACUAUCAUUUCCUCCUUCUUCCUUCUCAUGUCCCCUUUUCUCAUCCUAUUCCCCUUCUCCCUUUGUUUUUUCCCCUUCUCCCCCUUUCACUGGGAACCAAGAUUUCAGCUGACAUACCUAACAGAGGGCUAGAAGGUUCGCAUUUCAGAGGCUGACCUUUUAGCUGCCCUUAGCCUCCUUAAUUUAUUUUGGUCAUACAAAUUAAGCAAUUUCCUUGGUGGCUACCCAUUUAUCUUGCCCCUGAAGAUGUUUUUUCUUUUAACCAUUUCUAAGCUUUCUGCAGGUCAGGAUCCUGGUUGAAACUCUGACCUUUGCCACUCAUAACAGCAAUUGCACACAUUUUGCCUUCCACCUGUAUUCUUUGUCUCAGGUCCUUUCAUCCCCAACAGUAUCAAGGAACUUAGUUCUGUAACAGCAUCUCCUCCAGACCCUCUGCAAAACAUAACUGGCUGGUGGGUUUUCCAGCAAUCGCUAGUACAUCCACUCUAACAUGUCAUAUUCUCUAAGCUGCUUUAUCGCUCCUCCUCUGCCUCUGCCACAGACAUUUCGGCUUUUCCGCUUUAGUUAGUGUAGGCCUUCACUCAUUCCAAGCACCCAAGAACUUGGAAUCUUCCAAGUUCAUCCUGGCAGCUCGUUGGUUGUAUCUCCCAGAAUCCUUGUCAGAGCAUUAAAUCCCAUAUCACAGGAAAGUGCUUCCAGAUGGAUAAACUCUCUCUAAUCUAUGUUUUCCGUGAUCCAGCAUUCUUACGAUCCAGAUUCAUAUAUAUUCUGCACUGUGGCUUCACGUUAGGUCUCAAUCUCCUUCAGCAUGAGAUCCUUUUCUUCCCCUUAGCAUGCCCAUAAUGUCCCUGGUCCAGUAUUUUUUGUGAGUUUACCUUAGUUAUUGGUCGGUGGCCAGGAGUGGAGAAGAGAGUAGGUCCUAGGGGUUAGCUAUCUUGCAAGGUAGAGGCUUCUGCGUCCUCCUCAGGUGAGAGAGGAGCAUUUUAGUCUUAAUUUGGGAAGAAUGGGUUACUUUUGCAGGCCCAGAGGGUUCAGGGGAAGAUAAGGACUUAAAAUUUUCAAUACGUCAAGCCAGAUGUCUUCAUUCCAAGUCUCAGGGCCCCAUUCAUACCCACCAGUGGACCUGACCUUGACAGAGCAGGCUUGAAUUCUCAACCUACUUCAGAUAUCUACUUCCCUUUUAAUUAAGUCCUGGGCCUGAUAUUCAGUUUUUUCUACCUGGGUUGUAGAAGAUGAAAGACUAGUGUGCUGUCCAAGAGGUCCUCUGGCUUUCACACUUGGCCUUAAAUUGGUGAUUAAUCACCCUUAUUAAUUACCUUCUUCCAAUGCUUGAUUGCCUCCAGCAAUGGCCAUCUACCUUCAUGUCUUUAUAAAUACAACUCACCCCAAACUUCUCAAAGUCCAGGAUGUGCUGCCAUAACUUCCUAUAACUCCAUCUCUGCUUUACUUCGGAAUACCAUGAGAAUCAGCAAUUUCUAAAAACUGCUUUCUAAACGUUGAUGCCCACAAGUCCUCAAGUCGGGACCCACAAAAGGAUAGAAGAGCAAAGAGAAGUGGAGCUCCUACAGUUCACUUUAUCAUGCAAAGGAGGCUGAGUCAAGAGACUCCAGAAUUCUUCAAGAGGAUUUGAACUAAAUUAAUUUCAUUUGGCUUCAAAUUACUGAGGUAAGGCUACUACGUAUGGCUGUGCACAAUGACCUUGCAAUGAAGCCUUUCACAGCAUCUGCCUCUUCAAUUUUUACUGUCAGUGAAGGACUAAAAAUCCAUACUUUGAACCUGAAGUGUUCUCUGCAUAAGUAGAUCUCAAGCAUGCUGCCUGUUCCUAUAUAUCCGCAAAUUUCUAUGAGCAAAGAAAUUGGCAAGUCAUUGUCACCCUCUGGGUCAGCCAAGGAAACAUGUUCUCAUCCCUGGAAACCCAUACAAUAGUCUUCUAAUCUCUUCAUAGAGUGUCAACUUGGCAAAAGAGAUCCCAGUGUACCAGCAGCAUCCAUAACACUGAUUGUAGGAUCCUCAAACAAGAGAUUUCUCUCUUUACUCAUAAAAACAUGGAAUGAAUGCAUUCGUGAAGUCGACUCUGUAUAUAUGCCAUCUUAUAAAUGAAAUAAUUCUUGUCAAAUUACUCAGUGACAUUUUAUGGGUUUCAAGAAAGAGUGAAACUUCUGCCCAAAGAUCAGUGAAGCACAUCAAGAUACGACCUCUAAGAUGUCAGUAAACUUCUAUGAAUUCGAUAAGAAUGUUUAUUUUGUCCCAUUUAUUUCCAAGAUGAUGAUUUAUGGCCCCAGUUCUCACAUUGUUAGCCACUUUCGUGGAAGGAGAAGAGGCUUAUUUCAGGAUUUCCGGCAGUAUUAUUUUUAUUACAAUGUAUACCGAUGUAGAAAAGUCUUAAACCACAAUGGUAAGUGAAGCUUUUUUCUUCACAAAAGUCAUGAAGGAUAAAGGCUGCCAAGCUCUUAAGGUGUUACAUCACGCACAAAAUACCAAGAAUUUCAUCCAGACCAAAUUUUGCUUGGCAAAGAAAUUUAUACUAUUUAAAGACCUUUGAAUAUUCCCAAAGAGAUGGACAAAAAUAGGAAUUCUUCCUUAAUGACAUUAGUGUGCACAUAGAUGAAAAUCAGAAGCUGCCUUCACUCAGAGACAAGAGCAAUCUGUUUCAAUUGUUGCCAAGUCUUCUAGGACCUUCUUCUAAGUUAUAAAAUAAAUGUCCAUAAUUCUGGAGUUGAUGACACUGAUUGACCAAGGCACUGGUUCGUAUUUUUCUCUUGCUCCUAAUUAUAAAUCAUCCAUCACUUCACCAAGUUCUUUCAGAUCGUGGCUUCCUUCAUUACGGGAUGCUCUGAGCAGGAUUCCACACAAAGUCUUAAUGUUGCCACAAAUCUGAGAUUUUUUUCAAAUUUCCUUCAUUUCAAACUGAAAAUUAUUCUCAUGGAGAAGAUGUGUGCAAGUCAAUAUAUUUUCAAGGUAGGAAAACGUGUCAUACACAAGCAGGUUCAUUGGCUUCCUUUUUCCGUUGUCAAGAACCUUAUUUAUGAUAUGUGAGUAGUGCUCACGACAAUGUUUUCAGUGAUAGAACAUGUGAGUUUCUUUCCUAUUUCUCUUUGUACCACUUUUUAAUUAAGUUGAUCAAACGCAAAUAAAAACAGAUGUCCACA
Molecule: long non-coding RNA, 3586 nt
Organism: Equus caballus (horse)
Lineage: Eukaryota; Metazoa; Chordata; Mammalia; Perissodactyla; Equidae
Source: Ensembl